GACGUAGGGCUCGAGCGUUGUCCGGAUUUAUUGGGCGUAAAGAGCUCGUAGGCGGCUUGUUGCGUCGACCGUGAAAACCCGGGGCUCAACUUCGGGCUUGCGGUCGAUACGGGCGGGCUAGAGUUCGGUAGGGGAGACUGGAAUCCCUGGUGUAGCGGUGAAAUGCGCAGAUAUCAGGAGGAACACCGGUGGCGAAGGCGGGUCUCUGGGCCGAUACUGACGCUGAGGAGCGAAAGCGUGGGGAGCGAACAGG
This 253-nucleotide ribosomal RNA is filed under the name uncultured bacterium. RNAcentral's name for it is "partial 16S ribosomal RNA". It matches the Rfam family "Bacterial small subunit ribosomal RNA", at positions 524 to 776 of the family's 1533-position model. The record is from RNAcentral.